UUUGGGCAAAUCUCCAAAAUAGCACAUUUCUAAGUUUAUAUCACAAAAAUAGCACUCCAAAACUAAAAUGACCAAAAUAGCAUCUUUCUAAGUUUAUCCUUUGAAAAUUUUAAUUUUUUCAUUUUUCAAAAUUUGAAAUCUUAUCCCCAAAACCUCAUUUCUCAACUCUAAACCCUAAACCUUAAACUCUAAACCCUAAACCCUAAACCCUAAACCCUAAACUCUAAACCCUAAACCCUAAACUCUAAACCCUAAACCCUAAACCCUAAACUCUAAACCCUAAACCCUAAACUCUAAACCCUAAACCCUAAACUCUAAACCCUAAACAC
This 329-nucleotide long non-coding RNA is filed under the name Brassica napus (rape). RNAcentral's name for it is "long non-coding RNA (BNAP_LNC017553)". The record is from RNAcentral. Lineage: Eukaryota; Viridiplantae; Streptophyta; Magnoliopsida; Brassicales; Brassicaceae.